Molecule: ribosomal RNA, 510 nt
Filed under: Glomus sp. Glo3c
Lineage: Eukaryota; Fungi; Glomeromycota; Glomeromycetes; Glomerales; Glomeraceae
Description: SSU rRNA
Rfam family: Eukaryotic small subunit ribosomal RNA
Source: RNAcentral
AGCAUCCGCGGUAAUUCCAGCUCCAAUAGCGUAUAUUAAAGUUGUUGCAGUUAAAAAGCUCGUAGUUGAAUUUCGGGGUCAGUAGGUCGGUCGUGCCACUGGUAUGAACUGGUUUUACUGAUUCCUCCCUCUUGAAGAACUGUAAUGCCAUUAAUUUGGUGUUGCAGGGAAUCAGGACUGUUACUUUGAAAAAAUUAGAGUGUUUAAAGCAGGCUUUAGCUUGAAUACAUUAGCAUGGAAUAAUGAAAUAGGACGUUUGAUCCUAUUUUGUUGGUUUCUAGGAUUGACGUAAUGAUUAAUAGGGAUAGUUGGGGGCAUUAGUAUUCAAUUGUCAGAGGUGAAAUUCUUGGAUUUAUUGAAGACUAACUACUGCGAAAGCAUUUGCCAAGGAUGUUUUCAUUAAUCAAGAACGAAAGUUAGGGGAUCGAAGACGAUCAGAUACCGUCGUAGUCCUUACACCAUAAACUAUGCCGACUAGGGAUCGGAUGAUGUUAAUUUUUUAAUGACUCA